AUUGAACGCUGGCGGAAUGCUUUACACAUGCGAGUCGAACGGCAGCACGGGGGCAGCCCUGGUGGCGAGUGGCGAACGGGUGAGUAAUACAUCGGAACGUGCCCGGUCGUGGGGGAUAACGUAGCGAAAGUUACGCUAAUACCGCAUACGAUCUGAGGAUGAAAGCGGGGGACCUUCGGGCCUCGCGCGAUCGGAGCGGCCGAUGUCAGUUUAGGUAGUUGGUGGGGUAAAGGCCUACCAAGCCGACGAUCUGUAGCUGGUCUGAGAGGACGAACAGCCACACUGGGACUGAGACACGGCCCAGACUCCUACGGGAGGCAGCGGUGGGGAAUUUUGGACAAUGGGCGCAAGCCUGAUCCAGCCAUGCCGCGUGCAGGACGAAGGCCUUCGGGUUGUAAACUGCUUUUGUACGGAACGAAAAGGCUCUGGCUAAUACCUGGGGCUCAUGACGGUACCGUAAGAAUAAGCACCGGCUAACUACGUG
RNAcentral lists this ribosomal RNA (484 nucleotides) under uncultured bacterium. RNAcentral's name for it is "partial 16S ribosomal RNA". It matches the Rfam family "Bacterial small subunit ribosomal RNA", at positions 29 to 507 of the family's 1533-position model. The record is from RNAcentral.